GCCAACCCCUGAUAGGAGCUCAUGGAUGAAAAGUACUGUAGAACAAUGCCUGACACAGAUACAGAUCUCAAAGCAAGGCUUGUUGGACAAAUAAAUGAAGAUGAGCCCAAGAGCCCAGGAGAGGGACCGGGAACAGCAGGGCCUCCGUGACUCACACAAGCUUCAUCCCUGAACCAAGGACGCAGCCUGCCAACAAUGGCCCCAAGCCACACCCCGCCACAGGGGGAACUGAUGCUGCGGUGAGAAGUGACAGCUUUCUGUUGACUCUUUUUUUUUUCAAGCAGAAUAUGAAUUGAGACAUACUUUCAUUUUCAUAAUCAGAACCUAACACUUAGUAACCAAUGUUGGUGGAAGCAAAUGAGAUCACAGUUUGUCUGUUCCAAACUCAUCUCUGGGAAAAGGAGGAGGAAAAAUUAUUGGCACUAUGUUCAGAAUCAUAGCUGAAGAUGCAGAAAUUGUUCAUCCCAAUUUUGCCUUUCUGAAGAAAGCCACCACUAAGAAAACGAAAAGAGAAGCAGCAGACCAGGAGAAAAUAUUUGCAAAACCAAAUCUGAUAACGGACUUGUAUCCAGUAUUUGCAAAGAACUUCUAAACUUAAUAACAACAACGACGACAAAGGAGCAAAAUCCCUGGUGGUCUAGCAGUGAGGAUUAAAAAAGAAAAGAAGCAAAAUAUAUGAACAGCUGUUUCUCCAAAGGAGAUAUACCAAUAGCUAAUAAAAUAUGCACAGAUGCUCCACAA
RNAcentral lists this long non-coding RNA (741 nucleotides) under Homo sapiens (human). Its description in RNAcentral is "uncharacterized LOC105377730, transcript variant 5 (LOC105377730)". The record is from RNAcentral. Lineage: Eukaryota; Metazoa; Chordata; Mammalia; Primates; Hominidae.